This 466-nucleotide ribosomal RNA is filed under the name uncultured bacterium. RNAcentral's name for it is "partial 16S ribosomal RNA". It matches the Rfam family "Bacterial small subunit ribosomal RNA", at positions 28 to 507 of the family's 1533-position model. The record is from RNAcentral.
GAUGAACGCUGGCGGCGUGCUUAACACAUGCAAGUCGAACGGAAAGGCUCCUGCUUGCAGGGGUACUCGAGUGGCGAACGGGUGAGUAACACGUGGGUGAUCUGCCCUGCACUUCGGGAUAAGCCUGGGAAACUGGGUCUAAUACCGGAUAGGACGAUGGUUUGGAUGCCAUUGUGGAAAGUUUUUUCGGUGUGGGAUGAGCUCGCGGCCUAUCAGCUUGUUGGUGGGGUAAUGGCCUACCAAGGCGUCGACGGGUAGCCGGCCUGAGAGGGUGUACGGCGACAUUGGGACUGAGAUACGGACCAGACUCCUACGGGAGGCAGCAGUGGGGAGUAUUGCACAAUGGGCGCAAGCCUGAUGCAGCGACGCCGCGUGGGGGAUGACGGCCUUCGGGUUGUAAACUACUUUCGCUAGGGACGAAGCGCAAGUGACGGUACCUGGAGAAGAAGCACCGGCUAACUACGUG